GGGAGUAUAGCUCAGUGGUAGAGUGCGUACCUGGCGUGCAUGAGGUCCUGGGUUCAAUCCACAGUGCUUCUG
This 72-nucleotide transfer RNA is filed under the name Camelus bactrianus (Bactrian camel). It matches the Rfam family "tRNA". From Rfam's summary of the family: Transfer RNA (tRNA) molecules are approximately 80 nucleotides in length. Their secondary structure includes four short double-helical elements and three loops (D, anti-codon, and T loops). RNAcentral also lists the same sequence under 2 other names. The record is from Rfam by way of RNAcentral. Lineage: Eukaryota; Metazoa; Chordata; Mammalia; Artiodactyla; Camelidae.